Molecule: small nuclear RNA, 104 nt
Filed under: Castor canadensis (American beaver)
Lineage: Eukaryota; Metazoa; Chordata; Mammalia; Rodentia; Castoridae
Source: RNAcentral
GUGCUCACUUUGGCAGCACAUAUACUAAAAUUGGAAUGAUACGGAGAUUAGCAUGGCCCCUGCACAAGGAUAACAUGCAAAAUCUUGAACCAUACCAUAUUUUU